AUUGAACGCUGGCGGCAGGCCUAACAAAUGCAAGUCGAACGGUAGCACAGAGAGCUUGCUCUCGGGUGACGAGUGGCGGACGGGUGAGUAAUGUCUGGGAAACUGCCCGAUGGAGGGGGAUAACUACUGGAAACGGUAGCUAAUACCGCUUAAUGUCGCAAGACCAAAGAGGGGGACCUUCGGGCCUCUUGCCAUCGGAUGUGCCCAGAUGGGAUUAGCUAGUUGGUGAGGUAAUGGCUCACCAAGGCGACGAUCCCUAGCUGGUCUGAGAGGAUGACCAGCCACACUGGAACUGAGACACGGUCCAGACUCCUACGGGAGGCAGCAGUGGGGAAUAUUGCACAAUGGGCGCAAGCCUGAUGCAGCCAUGCCGCGUGUAUGAAGAAGGCCUUCGGGUUGUAAAGUACUUUCAGCGGGGAGGAAGGCAAUGCGGUUAAUAACCGUGUUGAUUGACGUUACCCGCAGAAGAAGCACCGGCUAACUCCGUG
This 488-nucleotide ribosomal RNA is filed under the name uncultured bacterium. RNAcentral describes it as "partial 16S ribosomal RNA". It matches the Rfam family "Bacterial small subunit ribosomal RNA", at positions 30 to 507 of the family's 1533-position model. The record is from RNAcentral.